Molecule: ribosomal RNA, 735 nt
Filed under: uncultured Fusobacterium sp.
Lineage: Bacteria; Fusobacteriati; Fusobacteriota; Fusobacteriia; Fusobacteriales; Fusobacteriaceae
Description: bacterial SSU rRNA
Rfam family: Bacterial small subunit ribosomal RNA
Source: RNAcentral
GAUGAACGCUGACGGAAUGCUUAACACAUGCAAGUCAACUUGAAUUUGGGUUUUUAACUUAGAUUUGGGUGGCGGACGGGUGAGUAACGCGUAAAGAACUUGCCUCACAGCUAGGGACAACAUUUAGAAAUGAAUGCUAAUACCUGAUAUUAUGAUUUUAAGGCAUCUUAGAAUUAUGAAAGCUAUAAGCACUGUGAGAGAGCUUUGCGUCCCAUUAGCUAGUUGGAGAGGUAACAGCUCACCAAAGCGAUGAUGGGUAGCCGGCCUGAGAGGGUGAACGGCCACAAGGGGACUGAGACACGGCCCUUACUCCUACGGGAGGCAGCAGUGGGGAAUAUUGGACAAUGGACCGAGAGUCUGAUCCAGCAAUUCUGUGUGCACGAUGAAGUUUUUCGGAAUGUAAAGUGCUUUCAGUUGGGAAGAAAGGAAUGACGGUACCAACAGAAGAAGUGACGGCUAAAUACGUGCCAGCAGCCGCGGUAAUACGUAUGUCACGAGCGUUAUCCGGAUUUAUUGGGCGUAAAGCGCGUCUAGGUGGUUAUGUAAGUCUGAUGUGAAAAUGCAGGGCUCAACUCUGUAUUGCGUUGGAAACUGUAUAACUAGAGUACUGGAGAGGUAAGCGGAACUACAAGUGUAGAGGUGAAAUUCGUAGAUAUUUGUAGGAAUGCCGAUGGGGAAGCCAGCUUACUGGACAGAUACUGACGCUAAAGCGCGAAAGCGUGGGUAGCAAACAGG